GUGGGGAAUAUUGGUCAAUGGGCGAAAGCCUGAACCAGCAAUGCCGCGUGAGUGAUGAAGGCCUUCGGGUUGUAAAGCUCUGUCAGAGGGAAAGAAAAAACCGGUUAAUACCCGGGCUUGACGGUACCCUCAAAGGAAGCACCGGCUAACUCUGUGCCAGCAGCCGCGGUAAUACAGAGGGUGCAAGCGUUGUUCGGAAUUACUGGGCGUAAAGCGCGUGUAGGCGGCUUAUUAAGUCGGACGUGAAAUCCCUUGGCUUAACCAAGGAACUGCGUCCGAUACUGGUAGGCUGGAGUAUCGGAGGGGGUGGCGGAAUUCCUGGUGUAGAGGUGAAAUUCGUAGAUAUCAGGAGGAACACCUGUGGCGAAGGCGGCCACCUGGAAGAUAACUGACGCUGAGACGCGAAAGCGUGGGGAGCAAACAGGAUUAGAAACCCGGGUAGUCC
This 445-nucleotide ribosomal RNA is filed under the name uncultured bacterium. Its description in RNAcentral is "bacterial SSU rRNA". It matches the Rfam family "Bacterial small subunit ribosomal RNA", at positions 354 to 796 of the family's 1533-position model. The record is from RNAcentral.